ACGCUGCGGCGUGCCUAAUACAUGCAAGUCGAGCGGACAGAUGGGAGCUUGCUCCCUGAUGUUAGCGGCGGACGGGUGAGUAACACGUGGGUAACCUGCCUGUAAGACUGGGAUAACUCCGGGAAACCGGGGCUAAUACCGGAUGGUUGUUUGAACCGCAUGGUUCAAACAUAAAAGGUGGCUUCGGCUACCACUUACAGAUGGACCCGCGGCGCAUUAGCUAGUUGGUGAGGUAACGGCUCACCAAGGCAACGAUGCGUAGCCGACCUGAGAGGGUGAUCGGCCACACUGGGACUGAGACACGGCCCAGACUCCUACGGGAGGCAGCAGUAGGGAAUUUUCCGCAAUGGACGAAAGUCUGACGGAGCAACGCCGCGUGAGUGAUGAAGGUUUUCGGAGGGUAAAGCUCUGUUGUUAGGGAAGAACAAGUACCGUUCGAAUAGGGCGGUACCUUGACGGUACCUAACCA
This 469-nucleotide ribosomal RNA is filed under the name Bacillus subtilis. Its description in RNAcentral is "bacterial SSU rRNA". It matches the Rfam family "Bacterial small subunit ribosomal RNA", at positions 33 to 485 of the family's 1533-position model. Lineage: Bacteria; Bacillati; Bacillota; Bacilli; Caryophanales; Bacillaceae. The record is from RNAcentral.